RNAcentral lists this ribosomal RNA (292 nucleotides) under uncultured prokaryote. Its description in RNAcentral is "partial 16S ribosomal RNA". It matches the Rfam family "Bacterial small subunit ribosomal RNA", at positions 505 to 796 of the family's 1533-position model. The record is from RNAcentral.
GUGCCAGCAGCCGCGGUAAUACGUAGGUGGCAAGCGUUAUCCGGAAUUAUUGGGCGUAAAGCGCGCGUAGGCGGUCUCUUAAGUCUGAUGUGAAAGCCCCCGGCUCAACCGGGGAGGGUCACUGGAAACUGGGAGACUUGAGUGCAGAAGAGGAGAGUGGAAUUCCAUGUGUAGCGGUGAAAUGCGCAGAGAUAUGGAGGAACACCAGUGGCGAAGGCGGCUCUCUGGUCUGUAGCUGACGCUGAGGUGCGAAAGCGUGGGUAGCAAUCAGGAUUAGAAACCCCUGUAGUCC